Molecule: long non-coding RNA, 2449 nt
Organism: Pyrus x bretschneideri (Chinese white pear)
Lineage: Eukaryota; Viridiplantae; Streptophyta; Magnoliopsida; Rosales; Rosaceae
Exons: 3
Source: RefSeq, a predicted model, not a curated record
AUGAUACUGUCUAACUCAAAGUCUCUCUGUCAUAAACCUCGACGCUGUCAUCAACCUCGACGCUGCCAUCUUCAUCUCCAAACUGCCGCGAUUGAAACCCAGAAAAGGAAAGCCACGCUCCCAUCCCACCACCACCACCUCCAAAUUCCGGCGACCAGAUAACUCUGCAAAAUCCUCUGCACUAAAAAAGGACUGUUCUACUAAAUCCUCUCCCAAAUUCCGAUGAAACUGACGGCGAAUGCGAGCGAGAGUUCGAAGCCUUCACCUCCUUUUUAUUCUUCGCGUUCUCCAUGGCUUCUUCUUUGAACGCUCGAACGUCUACAACUGCAAGCGAUUUCUACAAGGAUUUGCAGCAAUCCCUUCAUUGUCAGGUGGGUCACCGCCGCGAUGCCUGAUUCAAGAAGUUGAGGUUCGAAAACGGUGCUCUCGCUGAAUCAAUUUCAUCGAUUUUGUUCCUAAUCUUGUAAAUUUGUUUAAUUUGUGAUUGAAUGAUUGGGUUCGGAAUUAUUAUCCUCUGCAAAUUUGUAAUUUUAUUUUAUCUAUUACAUUCGCACUCUUGUAAACCACGGAGAGGCCACUUGGAGGUGGUUCAACAGCCAGGUGACCGCAGAGUGAAGGCUCAGCCCCCCUCCGUUGCCUGAACCCCAUUAUGAGGAAAAUUGACUGAUGUUGUUCUUGGAUUUGACUUUGUGGAGCCCUAUGUGGUAAAGAUCUUUGAUUUUUGGUUCGCAUCCGCCGUCGUUGUUGUUGGUGUUCCGCAUCCAAGGACAGAGAGAGAGUGAUGCUCGAGGAGCACUCACGUUCUGGACGCUUGGGGAUUUUUUUUUUAUUUUUUAUUUUUUUAUUUUUUACAAUGUGAAGGAGAUAACAACAAUUUAACACUGUUAAAAUGGUGGACAGAUGUCACAAACCUAUUAAAGCCACAGAGAUGCCACAUCUAUUUGGGUGAUACAAAUACGUGGUAAUAGUAGAUUUUUGCUUAUUAAACGGCUGCUUGUUUAUCCUACUUUUCCUUAAGAUUUCUGGUGUAUCCUACUUUUUCUUGCAAGCAAGAGUGCUGUCUCGUGUCUAGCAUUCGCAAUGUCGCAUUUUGCCCCUGAAGAAAUCAAAGGCUCGCACGGUGGCCUCUUCUUGCUGCUAACAUCAACGGACUGUAUCCAUCGGCAUCAGAAGCACAUCAGAGCCCCUGCUUAUCAAUGUAUGAACAAAAUCUGUGGGGCCGUGUUGUGCUGCCUGAUGUAGAGUCCCAUAAAACUCAACAGGACUAUCAGGUACCUUUUGAGUUUUAUGUCAGCCCCAGUGUCGAUAAGCAAUUUGAAAGUUUGUAGGUAACCGCCCUCUGCAGCUAUCAUGGCAGCUGAGUAUCCCUUUUCAUCUUGCUCAUUGUGAUCAAUGCCUGCCCCCUCAAUCAGUUUCUUCAAAGCCUCAAUACCCUUUGCUUGACUCACAAGCAUUAGAGGAGAAAAUACUGAUGUAUCGCUUGAUUGAACCAUUUCACCGGAUCGAAUCACAUCUACAAGACUACAACUGCUUGUCGGAAGCCAAGAGCCCACCUUGCUGACUCUGCUAUUACGCUUGCACUAUGACCAGCAGAAUUCACCAGGCCAAAAUCAGCACCGUCUGAAGCCAGAAUUUUAAGGCUUCCUGGUGUUUAUAUCUAGCACAGAUCAUUUGUGCAGUUUGUCCAGAUUUUGUCUGAGAGUUGGUAUUGCACCCGGCACCAAUCAAUCAUUGGAGAAUCUUAUUUAAUCCAAGUCGUGACACCAUGUGAACGGGCCAGUCAGUUUCUGGAUUUGUUGUCUUAAUUGGAACUUCUACAUGUGCACCACAAUUUAACAGAACCUCUACCGCUCUUUCAUUGUUACAUGAUGAGAGUCCUCCCAAAGUGAGGAAUGUUCGGAGAGUGGUGUUGCAAGAGCUUGCGCAAGAUAACACUGUUGGCUUCAAAAUACUCCACAGCACACCAGGUCGCUCUGUAAGCCUCGGCUAGUCCUGCACCCACCCGAAACUCUUCUCCUGUAUUUACAUCCCAGGACCAGCCUCCAAGGCUCACUUUUAUAUCUGUUGUGGCUCCAGCCUGUUAUUUCGUUCCAAAAGGUACGUAACAUUAGAUAGGAAGUGUGUAACUAUAAGGGUAUGCAUACUAGCCAAUGAGUUAGGGAUACACCUGCAAGAGGAGUCUGGCAACAGAAAUUUGCUGGCUAACAAUGGCGGAAAUAAGCACAUUACAGUAAACAUUAGUGUGUAGGAAUGGCUUAGAUGAUUGAAGCGGCGCCCUGUCAGUUGCAUCUGCAUCCACCCCACACUGCCACCAAGAAAUAGUAUCACUGUCAUGGAACAAGAGUUAAAUGUUCCAAGCAAUUAAAACACACACACAUUUCGGUGAUGGCAAGUUGGCAACCUUGAUUGUACAUCACACUUAUUUAUGUUGAAGCAUACUUUAAGGCAA